AACAAACGCUGGCGGCGUGCCUAAGACAUGCAAGUCGAACGAGGAAAGCUUUCGGGUGAGUACUAGUGGCGCACGGGUGAGGAAUAUAUGGGUAAUCUGCCCUCGAGUUGGGGAUAACCAGUCGAAAGACUGGCUAAUACCGAAUAAGACCACAGGAUCUGCGGAUCUAGGGGUUAAAGGUUUUUCGCUUGAGGAUGAGCCCAUACGGGAUUAGCUAGUUGGCGAGGUAAUGGCUCACCAAGGCUACGAUCCCUAACUGGUCUUAGAGGAUGAUCAGUCACACGGGAACUGAGACACGGUGAGGCUCCUACGGGAGGCAGCAGUAGGGAAUAUUGCACAAUGGGGGAAACCCUGAUGCAGCGACGCCGCGUGAGUGAUGAAGGCCUUCGGGUCGUAAAGCUCUGUCGUAUGGGACUAACACAAUGAAGGUACCAUGCAAGAAAGGAUCGGCUAACUUCGUGCCAGCCGCCGCCGUAA
RNAcentral lists this ribosomal RNA (477 nucleotides) under uncultured bacterium. RNAcentral describes it as "partial 16S ribosomal RNA". It matches the Rfam family "Bacterial small subunit ribosomal RNA", at positions 29 to 523 of the family's 1533-position model. The record is from RNAcentral.